GACGAACGCUGGCGGCGUGCCUAACACAUGCAAGUCGAACGGAGUGAAACGCUGAUUUGACGGUAGCUUGCUACUUGAUUUUCUUGUUUCACUUAGUGGCGGACGGGUGAGUAACGCGUGAGCAACCUGCCUCUAAGUGGGGAAUAACAUUUGGAAACGAAUGGUAAUACCGCAUAAUAUAUAUUUGCCGCAUGACAGAUAUAUCAAAAGAUUUAUCGCUUAGAGAUGGGCUCGCGUCCGAUUAGGUAGCUGGUGAGGUAACGGCUCACCAGGCCGACGAUCGGUAGCCGGACUGAGAGGUUGAACGGCCACAUUGGGACUGAGACACGGCCCAG
RNAcentral lists this ribosomal RNA (335 nucleotides) under uncultured bacterium. Its description in RNAcentral is "bacterial SSU rRNA". It matches the Rfam family "Bacterial small subunit ribosomal RNA", at positions 28 to 334 of the family's 1533-position model. The record is from RNAcentral.